GAAGCCAGAUGCCGUUCCUGAGAAGG
Molecule: non-coding RNA, 26 nt
Filed under: Mus musculus (house mouse)
Lineage: Eukaryota; Metazoa; Chordata; Mammalia; Rodentia; Muridae
Gene: mmu-miR-677-3p
Source: miRBase by way of RNAcentral